This 1188-nucleotide long non-coding RNA is filed under the name Cyanistes caeruleus (blue tit). Its description in RNAcentral is "lncRNA (ENSCCEG00000005617.1)". Lineage: Eukaryota; Metazoa; Chordata; Aves; Passeriformes; Paridae. The record is from RNAcentral.
AAAAGGGUCUGGGGUGUCACCGGGGGGAUUUGGGGUGACACUGAGGGUUCCCAGGUGUCACCAGGGGUGUCCCCGGGGUGUCCCUGGUUGUUCCCAGGGUGUCACCGAUUGUUCCCAGGUGUUCCCAUGUGUCACCAGGUGUUCCCGGGUGUCACCAGGGGUGCCCCCAGGGUGACACCGAUUGUUCCCGGGUGUCACCGGGUGUCCCCGGGGUGUCCCCGCGUGUUCCCAGGUGUCACCAGGGGUGGCCGCGGGUGUCACCGACUGUUCCCAGGGUGUCCCCAGGUGUCACCGAUUGUUCCCAGGUGUCCCCGGCUGUCCCCAGGUGUCCCCAGGGUGUCCCCGGUGUCCCCAGGGUGUCCCCAGGUGUCCCCAGGGUGUCACCGAUUGUCCCCAGGGUGUCCCCAGCUGUCCCCGGCUGUCCCCGGGGUGACACCGAUUGUUCCCAGGUGUCACCAGGGGUGUCCCCAGGUGUCACCGAUGGUUCCCCGGGGUGUCCGCGGGUGUCCCCGGGCGCGGGUCCCACCUGGAAGCCGUCCUCGUGCCGUUUCCACACGCAGGUGGUGCCGUCGAAGCUGGCCGAGGCCAGGUACAGCCCACACGGGGACCAGGACACCCGGCGCACCGUGCGCUGGUGGGCGUCAGCCAGCACCGCCCGGCACGACCAACCAGAGCCUGACGGACGGACAGACAUACGGACACACGGACGGACGGACACAUGGACACACGGACACAUGGACACACGGACGGACGGACACACGGACAGACGGACGGACAGCGGGACACGGACGGACAGACGGACACACGGAUGGACGGGGGGACACCGGGACAGACAGACAGCCGGACACACGGAUGGACGGACAGACAGCAGGACACACGGACGGACAGACAGACGGAGAGAUGGACGGACAGACAAUGGGACACACGGACGGAUGGGGGGGGACAACGGGACAGGCAGUGGGGACAACAGGACAGCGGGACAGACAGACGGCGGGACAGACGGACAGACGGAGGGACAACGGGACAGACGGACAGCAGGACAGGGGGACAGACAGUGGGGGGACAGACAGCGGGGACAGUGGGACAAGGGGACAGACAGACGGACAGACAGUGGGGACAGAGAGUGGGACAGACAGACGGACAGACAGCGGGACGGACACCGGGGACAGAGAACAGAGAUCUCUCUUA